CCAGGGGCUUGCGCCCCUGGCUAUUAACGGCCGCCCCUUCGGGGCU
Molecule: small RNA, 46 nt
Organism: Singulisphaera acidiphila DSM 18658
Lineage: Bacteria; Pseudomonadati; Planctomycetota; Planctomycetia; Isosphaerales; Isosphaeraceae
Rfam family: Acido-Lenti-1 RNA
Source: Rfam